This 64-nucleotide transfer RNA is filed under the name Tolmerinus auronotatus. Its description in RNAcentral is "tRNA-His". Lineage: Eukaryota; Metazoa; Arthropoda; Insecta; Coleoptera; Staphylinidae. The record is from RNAcentral.
AUUUAAAUAGUUUAAUAAAAAAUUUUGAUUUGUGGGAUCAAAGAUAUGAAUUUCAUUUUAGAUA